CAGUAGCCGCGGUAAUACAGAGGGUGCGAGCGUUAAUCGGAUUUACUGGGCGUAAAGCGUGCGUAGGCGGCUAAUUGAGUCGGAUGUGAAAUCCCCGAGCUUAACUUGGGAAUUGCAUUAGAUACUGGUUAGCUAGAGUGUGGGAGAGGAUGGUAGAAUUCCAGGUGUAGCGGUGAAAUGCGUAGAGAUCUGGAGGAAUACCGAUGGCGAAGGCAGCCAUCUGGCCUAACACUGACGCUGAGGUACGAAAGCAUGGGGAGCAAACAGGAUUAGAUACCCGGGUAGUCCCUGUCUCUUAUAC
Molecule: ribosomal RNA, 301 nt
Filed under: uncultured bacterium
Lineage: Bacteria
Description: partial 16S ribosomal RNA
Rfam family: Bacterial small subunit ribosomal RNA
Source: RNAcentral